RNAcentral lists this ribosomal RNA (424 nucleotides) under uncultured bacterium. RNAcentral's name for it is "partial 16S ribosomal RNA". It matches the Rfam family "Bacterial small subunit ribosomal RNA", at positions 359 to 774 of the family's 1533-position model. The record is from RNAcentral.
GAAUAUUGGACAAUGGGGGGAACCCUGAUCCAGCCAUGCCGCGUGUGUGAAGAAGGCCUUUUGGUUGUAAAGCACUUUAAGCGAGGAGGAGGCUACUUAGAUUAAUACUCCAGGAAAGUGGACGUUACUCGCAGAAUAAGCACCGGCUAAACCUGUGCCAGCAGCCGCGGUAAUCCGGAGGGUGCAAGCGUUAAUCGUAUUUACUGGGCGUAAAGCGCGCGUAGGUGGCGAAUUAAGUCAAAUGUUAAAUCCCCGAGCUUAACUUGGGAAUUGCAUUCGAUACUGGUUGGCUAGAGUAUGGGAGAGGAUGGUAGAAUUCCAGGUGUAGCGGUGAAAUGCGUAGAGAUCUGGAGGGAUACCGAUGGCGAAGGCAGCCAUCUGGCCUAAUACUGACACUGAGGUGCGAAAGCAUGGGGAGCAAACA